UUAACUUUAAGGAAGGCUUCCAGAUCAUGAGAAUAUAUAUAGUAAAGUAAAGGACUUAAAACUGAGCCCUGAGGUAAACCUUUCCAGGCAAUAUGGGAGUGAAUUGAAAGGUUGACAUUAUCAUAGGCUGCAGACACAUCUAAGAAUGCUGCUAACACAGACUUAUUGUAAGAAAAUGCCAAUCUUAAGUCUGUCAUAAAAAUGCUGAGACUAUCCAUUGUUCUCAUGCCUUUCCUAAAUCCAAACUGGUUUGGAGAUAGUAACCCCUUACUCUCAAUAAACCAUUCUAGUCUAUUUUUCACUUAAUAAUCAGAAAUUUUGGAAAUAACUGAAGCUAAUGGAAUUGGUCUGUAUGAUGAUGGAUCAUUUAUCGGUUUGUUGGGCUUGUGUAUUGGGAUAACUUCAUGGAUUUUCCGUGAAGGAGGAAUUUUACCUGAUGUUAAGAUUGAAUUAAAUAAACUGAGACAAUAAGAAAGGCAGCACCAUCCAUCACAACCUGGGGCUGAGUCCCUAAGUUUUGAAAGAACCCCUUUGAGUUCUGAAAGGCUAAAGGAAAUGAAUGAAUCGCUACUAUCAUGCUGGGGGAGGAGAUAAGGCUGUGAGUUAGAAGAAAUAUUAUCUAUAGAUGGGACAUAUGGUGGAGCUAAUUUGUCAAGAAACAAAUCAACUGUACUGCUAUCCAUAAGAGAAGACCUUGGAGGUUAAAAAGAGGAUCUGAAUUUACAAAUAUUUUGCCAAACUUCAGAUAGAGAAAUGUCUGGUGAAAUUGAGGCACAAAAAGAUUUCCAGCCAUUGAAUCUUUUUUGUUUUAAUAAUUUACAUGUUUUCGUUAUAAGAUUGCAAAGAAUAUUAAAAUAUUGUGAUGUAGAA
Molecule: long non-coding RNA, 870 nt
Organism: Leptidea sinapis
Lineage: Eukaryota; Metazoa; Arthropoda; Insecta; Lepidoptera; Pieridae
Exons: 2
Source: RefSeq, a predicted model, not a curated record